Molecule: small RNA, 973 nt
Filed under: uncultured Cenococcum
Lineage: Eukaryota; Fungi; Ascomycota; Dothideomycetes; Gloniales; Gloniaceae
Description: eukaryotic LSU rRNA
Rfam family: 5.8S ribosomal RNA (bases 677-830)
Source: RNAcentral
CAAGGUUUCCGUAGAACAAGUCUGCAGGAACGAUUCCUUCCGCAGUGUACACUUGUAGAAGCUUUGCAGCCACGCAAGUGGUAGAUCCAAGCGACUUUAAAUAAUUUCAGGAUCGCUAUGCAAGUCGGCCCACGCAUGUGGUGCCGGCGACACUUUCGAAUUGACGGGGACACCCUAAAGCCUGUCGCACCAACUCUGUGCGGGAAACCGCUUGAGGGCCCGUGCUAACUACACGGGGCGGUAAUAGACGACAUGGAUACUUCCACGCCUCUGGUGUGGAUACUAUGGGCAAUCCGCAGCGAAGCCUCUAAGUCCGGCCGCCGGGUAUGAGGAACGUUCACAGACUAAGUGGAAGUGGGUGGGGCGUUUGCCGCUCUGCUUAAGAUAUAGUCGGUCCCCUUGAGAAACCAAGGGGGUGAGUACACUGGUUGAAAUCUAAACACGAACGCUCGUGUUAGAAUUUCGAGACUGUCAAUUGCCUCGCGGUUUGACAGCUCUUAAGACGUUCCGUAGGUGAACCUGCGGAAGGAUCAUUACAGAAAGUAAACGCGGGUCAAACCGCGAACUUCUAAACCUUUGACGAUUGACUCAUGUUGCCUCGGUGGGUUCGCCCGCCAGAGGAUACAUCAAAACUCCUGUUUUAACGGUGUUGUCUGAGCUACAAGCAACGAAUCAAAACUUUCAACAACGGAUCUCUUGGUUCUGGCAUCGAUGAAGAACGCAGCGAAAUGCGAUAAGUAGUGUGAAUUGCAGAAUUCAGUGAAUCAUCGAAUCUUUGAACGCACAUUGCGCCCCUUGGUAUCCCGAGGGGCAUGCCUGUUCGAGCGUCAUUUCACCCCUCAAGCCUGGCUUGGUGUUGGGUGACGUCCUCUUUGGGGACGCGCCUCAAAACGCUCGGCGGCGUGGCACCGGCUUUAAGCGUAGCAGAAUCUUAUCUUUCGCUUUGAAAGUCGGGGCCACAUCUGCCGGAAGA